RNAcentral lists this long non-coding RNA (663 nucleotides) under Monodelphis domestica (gray short-tailed opossum). RNAcentral's name for it is "lncRNA (ENSMODG00000038438.1)". Lineage: Eukaryota; Metazoa; Chordata; Mammalia; Didelphimorphia; Didelphidae. The record is from RNAcentral.
CGUUAGCGUGGGGAACCCCGGGCGGGGCGAGGGGAGCCCAAAGCUGCUCCUCUUGAGCAAGCUGGAAAUCUAAUCUCAGGUAGCGAGACCUCUAAAUUAAAAAAGGGAUCUCUUUUAAAAGGAAGCCGAGGGGAGGGGAGUGGCCCUUUACCGUGGGCCAGAAUCUCCAGCUGAAUCUCUAGCAGCCUCCAUCUCGGAUAGUGACCCAUGUAUCCAGGAUCUUCUCAAUAGACUAAAGUGGAGAGUAUUCUUUGUCAUAAGUCCUUCAGACUGCUCCUGGAUCCUGGAUCAUACUGCUGAGAGUAGCCAAGUCUUAUCACAGGUGAUCAUUGUAUAGUGUUGCUGUUGCUGUGUACAUUAUUGUUCUGGUUCUUAUUUUGCUCUGGAUCAGUUCAUGCAGAUUUUUAUAGCUUUUUCUGUUAUCUCCCUGCUUAUCAUUGCUUACAACACAAUAGUAUGCCAUCACAUACCACAAUUUGUUUAGCCAAUUUCCAAACUGAAGGACAUCCCCAAUUCUUUGCCACCACAAAAAGCUGCUAUAAAUAGUCAAGUCCUUUCCCCUUUUUAUGAUUUCUUUUAAGAUACAGACCCAGUAAUGGUAUUACAGGAUCAAAGGGUAUGCAUUGAUUUAUAACCCCUUGGACAUAGUUCUAAAUUGCACUC